RNAcentral lists this ribosomal RNA (345 nucleotides) under uncultured archaeon. RNAcentral describes it as "bacterial SSU rRNA". It matches the Rfam family "Archaeal small subunit ribosomal RNA", at positions 691 to 1035 of the family's 1478-position model. The record is from RNAcentral.
CCGACGGUGAGAGGUGAAAGCUGGGGGAGCAAACCGGAUUAGAUACCCGGGUAGUCCCAGCCGUAAACGAUGUGCGUUAGGUGUAUCGGUGACCACGAGUCACCGAGGUGCCGAAGAGAAAUCGUGAAACGUACCGCCUGGGAGGUACGGUCGCAAGGCUGAAACUUAAAGGAAUUGGCGGGGGAGCACCACAACAGGUGGAGCCUGCGGUUUAAUCGGACUCAACGCCGGGAAACUCACCAGAUAAGACAGCUGAAUGAUAGUCGGGCUGAAGACUCUACUUGACUAGCUGAGAGGAGGUGCAUGGCCGUCGUCAGUUCGUACUGUGAAGCAUCCUGUUAAGUC